Molecule: ribosomal RNA, 492 nt
Filed under: uncultured bacterium
Lineage: Bacteria
Description: partial 16S ribosomal RNA
Rfam family: Bacterial small subunit ribosomal RNA
Source: RNAcentral
AGUGAACGCUGGCGGUAGGCCUAACACAUGCAAGUCGAACGGCAGCACAGUAAGAGCUUGCUCUUACGGGUGGCGAGUGGCGGACGGGUGAGGAAUACAUCGGAAUCUACUUUUUCGUGGGGGAUAACGUAGGGAAACUUACGCUAAUACCGCAUACGACCUACGGGUGAAAGCAGGGGAUCUUCGGACCUUGCGCGAUUGAAUGAGCCGAUGUCGGAUUAGCUAGUUGGCGGGGUAAAGGCCCACCAAGGCGACGAUCCGUAGCUGGUCUGAGAGGAUGAUCAGCCACACUGGAACUUAGACACGGUCCAGACUCCUACGGGAGGCAGCAGUGGGGAAUAUUGGACAAUGGGCGCAAGCCUGAUCCAGCCAUACCGCGUGAGUGAAGAAGGCCUUCGGGUUGUAAAGCCCUUUUGUUGGGAAAGAAAAGCAGCAGGUUAAUACCCCGCUGUUCUGACGGUACCCAAAGAAUAAGCACCGGCUAACUUCGUG